This 403-nucleotide ribosomal RNA is filed under the name uncultured Acidobacteriota bacterium. Its description in RNAcentral is "SSU rRNA". It matches the Rfam family "Bacterial small subunit ribosomal RNA", at positions 242 to 662 of the family's 1533-position model. Lineage: Bacteria; Pseudomonadati; Acidobacteriota. The record is from RNAcentral.
CAGCUAGUUGGUAGGGUAAUGGCCUACCAAGGCGAAGAUCGGUAUCCGGCCUGAGAGGGCGCACGGACACACUGGAACUGAAACACGGUCCAGACUCCUACGGGAGGCAGCAGUGGGGAAUUUUGCGCAAUGGGGGAAACCCUGACGCAGCAACGCCGCGUGGAGGAUGAAGCCCCUUGGGGUGUAAACUCCUUUCGACCGGGAAAAUUAUGAUGGUACCGGUGGAAGAAGCACCGGCUAACUCUGUGCCAGCAGCCGCGGUAAUACAGAGGGUGCGAGCGUUGUUCGGAAUUAUUGGGCGUAAAGGGCGCGUAGGCGGUAUUGUAAGUCACCUGUGAAACCUCUGGGCUUAACUCAGAGCCUGCAGGCGAAACUGCAAUGCUGGAGGGGGGGAGAGGUGCGU